Vulpes vulpes (red fox) is the source of this 125-nucleotide small nuclear RNA. Its record names the gene U4. It matches the Rfam family "U4 spliceosomal RNA". From Rfam's summary of the family: U4 small nuclear RNA (U4 snRNA) is a component of the major U2-dependent spliceosome. The structure of U4 snRNA from yeast and human has been reported. U4 snRNA presents a k-turn RNA motif in the 5p-SL related to recognition of Snu13 protein. The record is from Ensembl. NCBI's taxonomy places the organism in Eukaryota, Metazoa, Chordata, Mammalia, Carnivora, Canidae.
ACCUUCGCUCAGUGGCAGGAUCAUAGCCAAUGAGGUUUCUCUGAGGCACAAGUAUUGUUAAUUAAAAACUAAACAGAAGAAACGUCAUCUGAUGUGAUGAAAAAUAUUAUAUGCAUUUAACACUG